RNAcentral lists this ribosomal RNA (497 nucleotides) under uncultured bacterium. RNAcentral describes it as "partial 16S ribosomal RNA". It matches the Rfam family "Bacterial small subunit ribosomal RNA", at positions 28 to 507 of the family's 1533-position model. The record is from RNAcentral.
GAUGAACGCUGGCGGCGUGCCUAAUACAUGCAAGUCGAGCGAACAGACGAGGAGCUUGCUCCUCUGACGUUAGCGGCGGACGGGUGAGUAACACGUGGAUAACCUACCUAUAAGACUGGGAUAACUUCGGGAAACCGGAGCUAAUACCGGAUAAUAUAUUGAACCGCAUGGUUCAAUAGUGAAAGACGGUUUUGCUGUCACUUAUAGAUGGAUCCGCGCCGCAUUAGCUAGUUGGUAAGGUAACGGCUUACCAAGGCAACGAUGCGUAGCCGACCUGAGAGGGUGAUCGGCCACACUGGAACUGAGACACGGUCCAGACUCCUACGGGAGGCAGCAGUAGGGAAUCUUCCGCAAAGGGCGAAAGCCUGACGGAGCAACGCCGCGUGAGUGAUGAAGGUCUUCGGAUCGUAAAACUCUGUUAUUAGGGAAGAAUAAAUGUGUAAGUAACUAUGCACGUCUUGACGGUACCUAAUCAGAAAGCCACGGCUAACUACGUG